RNAcentral lists this ribosomal RNA (522 nucleotides) under uncultured bacterium. RNAcentral's name for it is "bacterial SSU rRNA". It matches the Rfam family "Bacterial small subunit ribosomal RNA", at positions 988 to 1509 of the family's 1533-position model. The record is from RNAcentral.
CCAGAGAACUUUCCAGAGAUGGAUUGGUGUCUUCGGGGAACUCUGAGACAGGUGCUGCAUGGCUGUCGUCAGCUCGUGUUGUGAAAUGUUGGGUUAAGUCCCGCAACGAGCGCAACCCUUAUCCUUUGUUGCCAGCGGUUAGGCCGGGAACUCAAAGGAGACUGCCAGUGAUAAACUGGAGGAAGGUGGGGAUGACGUCAAGUCAUCAUGGCCCUUACGAGUAGGGCUACACACGUGCUACAAUGGCGCAUACAAAGAGAAGCGACCUCGCGAGAGCAAGCGGACCUCAUAAAGUGCGUCGUAGUCCGGAUUGGAGUCUGCAACUCGACUCCAUGAAGUCGGAAUCGCUAGUAAUCGUGGAUCAGAAUGCCACGGUGAAUACGUUCCCGGGCCUUGUACACACCGCCCGUCACACCAUGGGAGUGGGUUGCAAAAGAAGUAGGUAGCUUAACCUUCGGGAGGGCGCUUACCACUUUGUGAUUCAUGACUGGGGUGAAGUCGUAACAAGGUAAGCGUAGUGCU